UACUAAUCAUGAGUUACUAGCAUUUGGCUUCUCUGUGCUAAUUAAACCUGAUAAGUAUGUAUACUUCUUUGAGAUACAAAUUCCACAUUACAUGUUUAUGUGCUAAUUAAACCUGAUAAGUAUGUAUACUUCUUUGAGAUACAAAUUCCACAUUGCAUGUUUAUGAGGUUCAAUUUCUACAGAUGUUGCCAAAUGAAUGCGUCAACAUGUCUCUCCUUAGGGGUUGUUUUAAACCGCAAAUGAUCUACUGUAUCAAUUUUUUGCUGUUCAAAGAUUGAAAUCCUGGUUCAUUUUCAAAGAUCGAAAUGUUCUUGACCCUGUUCUUCUAUGCUUAAAUGGUAAAAAUGUCGCAUUUUGCUUGUUCUAACCAUUUUUCUUGAUAACUUGUAGAUGCUGGCCUUCAUUCAUGUUUUGUCGUGAGGUCCAGGAUGAACAAGUUGGGAGAAGCAUUGGAGCUAGUUAUACUGUGAUAGUUGUGUUACCUGAUGUGAACAUUUUUUUAUUGUAAACUUGAUGUGAACCAUAUUUUUUUGUAAUAAUGUGUUACCAGGAUGAACCAUCCUUGCUGUGUUACCAGGGUGAACAAGUUUGAUUGUAAUAAUGUGCCAAGUUUGGCUCUUUCUGAUUGUAUUCGUGAUGUGUACCAUAUUUUUCCUGAUUAG
RNAcentral lists this long non-coding RNA (662 nucleotides) under Triticum aestivum (bread wheat). RNAcentral describes it as "long non-coding RNA (TAES_LNC006069)". The record is from RNAcentral. Lineage: Eukaryota; Viridiplantae; Streptophyta; Magnoliopsida; Poales; Poaceae.